RNAcentral lists this ribosomal RNA (216 nucleotides) under Glomeromycotina sp. RNAcentral's name for it is "partial small subunit ribosomal RNA". The stretch from base 40 to 216 matches the Rfam family "Eukaryotic small subunit ribosomal RNA", at positions 686 to 864 of the family's 1831-position model. Lineage: Eukaryota; Fungi; Glomeromycota. The record is from RNAcentral.
GGGUCAUUAGGUUGGUCGUGCCACCGGUACGUACUGGUCUCACUGAUUCCUCCUUCCUGAAGAACCGUAAUGCCAUUAAUUUGGUGUUGCGGGGAAACAGGACUGUUACUUUGAAAAAAUUAGAGUGUUUAAAGCAAGCUAACGCUUGAAUACAUUAGCAUAGAAUAAUGAAAUAGGACGAUCGAUCCUAUUUUGUUGGUUUCUAGGAUUGACGUA